RNAcentral lists this long non-coding RNA (3259 nucleotides) under Homo sapiens (human). RNAcentral describes it as "long non-coding RNA NONHSAT152424.1". Lineage: Eukaryota; Metazoa; Chordata; Mammalia; Primates; Hominidae. The record is from RNAcentral.
AGGGAAGGGCUGAAUGCUCUGUGUUUAAGGGAGAGAUAGAAUGGACAGCUGGGCAAACACACACCCGGGGACUCCUUUCUCCAAGACCGAUGGGCAUUGGGGGUGGCAGAGGAAAUACCAGCAUGGAACAACAUCCCAGGGACCCGCGUCCUCCCCAGGUUACAGUCCUGGGUCCCUGCAUGGCUGCAUGUUGUCUGCAGGCCACAUCUCCUCAGGACUCCCGCACUCAUCACUUUCCCAUUGCUAUGGAAGAGAGGUGUCAAGGUGGCACCUGCCUCCCUGUCCGUAGUGCUCAGGUGUGUGGCUACCAGAGGAAAAGCCACUCCCAACCUUUGCCGACAACCAUCCCGUUUCUGGGUUCCUGGAGAAGUCUGGGAAGCUGCUCUGUUGUAGAGGCUGAAAGGAGGGCUGGUGAGAGCCCCCAGCUGAAACCAGCCCUGCCCCUUACCCUUCCUCACCCCUCUACCUUCACUCUCCUCCUAACACUCCAGGGUUUUGUUUUUUGUUUGUUUUUUGCUUUUCUCACCCCAGGGCUCCUGCCUCUCCAGCCUGGAGACAGAUUUGAUUUGGGAUUGUUACAAAAAUAAUAAUAACCCAAAUGCAGAGAAGCCACGGAAAGGGCUGAGGGCAACCCUCCCCUCCCCCCGCCCUCCUCCCUCCCCAUUCCAAACCGAGUACAAAACCGCACCCAAAGCAGACAUUCUGUACAGGGGGGUGGGUGGGCUGGGGAGCAAGCGGGAGGGGCGGCCCUGCGGUUGCUCUGUACAAGUCCGGGUUGGUGACGGCCCCAGCAGUCCCCACAGGGCCCCUGGGGGGCGCAGGAAGUGGGCAGGCGCCUCUAGAUGAAAUAUUCCUUCUUGUCGUCCCCUCCUGACUGCCCGCCUUCUGCAUUGAUGAUGGCCGUGUCCGCGUCUGGAGCAUCGUCGGAGCCUUUUGCCUCAUGUGUCAGUAGUGGCCAAGGAAGAUGAGCAUGAUGAGCAGCAGGAAGACAAUGAAAGCCACGAUCCCACCGAUGAUGGCGUGUCCCGCCCACUUAAGGAUAUUCCUGGAAGAAGAUGCAGUAGCUCCUUCUACCACCAGGCGUCAGCACUGGAAACAGACGCAGUCCAACAGGACUCCCUCUGCCUGGCUGUUGAGCACAAAGCAGAGGGGAGAUCAGCAAGAUACCAACCACAAGGGCACAAGAACUUUCUCUCACUGCCAAUCAUCAUCAGAUUGGUCUGGAGAGAUCUGGGGGCAGAGACCGGAGCUCAGUGCAUUGUCCUUGCUCUUGGCAUCCUACAAUAGCCUUGUUGUGCUGAGGCAGCUCCCACAUGCUGAGGUCUGCCCCUGGAGUGGGAAUCACCCAUCCAGACAUUCUGAUCCCAAGAACUCAGACCUCUUAUCGCUGGGAGGCCUGGCUCUUAUCCCCUCAACUGUUUUAAUGAGUGUCUCAAGUAAGGGAGCCUCUGAUGUUUCCCCGACAAUGCAUUUCCCCUAUUCUGAGAAAAGAUAAGACUUUCUGGCGGGACCCACAGCCAUUGGGAUCUUCAAAAAAAUCGCCCGUCAACUCUCCAUAAAGGGGCCUCUGUGUCACCCUGUCACUACUCCUGAAGCUGGGUUUUGUGGUCACAGCUUUGAGAAGAACUUCAGAGAAGGAGCAUCACCUGGUCCUUCUAGAAGAUAUGGCAUCUGAGAAAAGAUUCUGUCUCUUGGCAUAGUACAAGCUUCUCUCUAUUUUCUGUCCAGACCCAGUACACUGUGCUUAAGGUGGGCAGAAAAAAAAAUGACAGCAGUUGCAUGCACCCAAUACCUAGUCUUAGGAGAAGCAACUCUGAGAAGAGCCAGUUAGAGAAGGAAAUGCACCUGCGCCUGCACUUGAGAGGCUUUGGGGCCUCUGCACACAGAAUUAUUGUUCUUGUUGUCAGACAAGUGCAGGGGAUGGAAGAUGGUGUCACCCAGGCCACCACUACCAAAGAAAGGCAGAUGAGAGCCCACCCUUCUAAUGUUUUUUCACUAAGCGGCCAUUACACAUUCUAGAGUGGACCUGGGACCUAAGCCCUCAGGGACCCCAGUGGUGGGCUGGUUUUCCUUUACUCCACUCCCCGUCACAGUUUGGGGAUGUUAUCAGGAAGCAUUUUAAAAAAGGGAAUAAGAUGGACAGAGAAAGGAGAUUCUGGAGGAAGAGAACUGAGGAGGGCUUACCAUUAACAUUGAGGGUGUAGUAGGCCUUGUAGCUGCCCAUGUUGCUGGUGGCUGUGCAGCCGUAGGUGCCACUGUCACUCUUGUUGAGGAAAGGGAAGAUCAGGGCACUCUCCUGGGUCAUCUUCAGGGGUGGCACACUGCCCUCCUUCUCCCAUAGGUACUGCUGGGGGCUGUCGAGGCAGACAAAUCAGAAGAGCUCAGGAGAGCAUAGGCCAGGGAGCUAAAAGAAAAAAAAAAAUAACUGGGAGCAGGGAUGUCAAGGACUGUUUGAUGAGGCUGGAGAAAUUAUCGGGGCCAGAGACACUGGAGCUGCUAUACGCCAGGUGGCCUCUUGGGGUUCGUUCUGGGGAAGCUGUAGAUCUCCAGACUUGUAUCUUACUUUAACUUGGCCUUUGUGGGAAACUCAGGGACUGAGUUAGGGAGUGGCCCCUUCCCAUUUGUGCUGCUUUGCAGAAGAACUAAUUGCAGGCGGACAUUAUUGGACAGUCAGGGAAAUGAGAGGCUCAGGUCAGACAAUACAGAGGAGAUAGGAAGGAGCUGUUAUGUGAAGAAGGCAAUCUGAGAAUGUGGAGAGUAAGGAGGAGACCAGGAAAUGGAUCUUCUUACACUGGAUUGCCGCGACCCUCACAGUGUAGCAACAGCUUCUGGCCCUCACGAGGAUGGGGAGGGUCUGGCCUAAUCAUCGCAGUUGGUGUGUCUGUGGAGAAGGAAAUGGUAUCAAUGAAUACCUCCCCACACGGCUUAGGAGAUUCCCUCACUUAGUUGCACACUACAGCUUCUACCUCUAAAUGUUUCCGCAGCUCAAGAAGUGCAACAAAGACCUUCCUUCUCCUACUUCUCAUGAACAAGGACCAUUAUUGCUAUUGAAUAUGUGAGCAACUUCUCUUGCAACCUUGUGUGAUAGGAUUCUGGAAGGUCUGUCCUUGGUGGGCCCUAAGAGAUGUCUUAACAGAAAGCUGAGAAGGGAAAUGAGUGGUUUACCUGUGCCUAGCAAACCUCCUAGCACAUAGGAAAGACCUAAUACAUAUUUUUUACAGAACAAAUAAAGUUGAACUUGUCACAUAUUGAGCUCACA